Molecule: long non-coding RNA, 371 nt
Filed under: Gigantopelta aegis
Lineage: Eukaryota; Metazoa; Mollusca; Gastropoda; Neomphalida; Peltospiridae
Description: uncharacterized LOC121390472
Source: RNAcentral
AUCGUAUUGCAGCAAGCCCAACCAGUCCGGACGUACAGACUAACAGACAGGAAUUACAGCCGAAUCUGACUGCAAGUUUGAACAAUGAAUCUAGCAGUUUUGUUUUCUUCACUUGUAAUAUGUUCUCUUGUUGUGUUGGGAGUGACCGAUGCCUGGGGACGUCGAGGACGAGGUGGACGUGGUGGACGCGGUAGACGAUGUGGUCGUAAAGGAUGACGUGUCGACGAAAUCUCUAAUAUUAGCACGAAUUUCAACCUGGCUAUGGAGUUUUGAAGAGAUCAUGGUGAUCUACGACAUCAUAUCUCAUGUACAAUCGCAUGCGUGGAUUAUUCUAUAUGUUUGAUAAACAUACGAGUGCAAUAAACUUAAUA